GAUGAAGAACGCAGCGAAAUGCGAUACGUAAUGUGAAUUGCAGAAUUCAGUGAAUCAUCGAAUCUUUGAACGCAUAUUGCGCUCUCUGGUAUUCCGGAGAGCAUGCUUGUUUGAGUAUCAGUAAACACCUCAACUCCCUCUCUUCUUGAAAUGGAGCUGGACUUGAGUGAUCCCAACGCUUUAUUCAUAAAGUGGCGGGUUACUUGAAAUGCAGGUGCAGCUGGACUUUUCUCUGAGCUAUAAGCAUAUCUAUUUAGUCUGCCUCAAAACAGAUUAUUACCUUUGCUGCAGCUAACAUAAAGGAGAUUAGUUCUUGUGCUGACUGAUGCAGGAUUCACAAAGACCGCUUCGGCUGUCUUUGUAAACUCGAUCUCAAAUCAAGUAAGACUACCCGCUGAACUUAAGCAUAUCAAUAAGCGGAGGA
RNAcentral lists this unclassified non-coding RNA (424 nucleotides) under soil metagenome. RNAcentral's name for it is "partial contains 5.8S ribosomal RNA, internal transcribed spacer 2, and large subunit ribosomal RNA". The stretch from base 1 to 120 matches the Rfam family "5.8S ribosomal RNA", at positions 35 to 154 of the family's 154-position model. The record is from RNAcentral.